This 592-nucleotide long non-coding RNA is filed under the name Prunus persica (peach). Its description in RNAcentral is "long non-coding RNA (PPER_LNC000389)". Lineage: Eukaryota; Viridiplantae; Streptophyta; Magnoliopsida; Rosales; Rosaceae. The record is from RNAcentral.
UUUAAUGCAGACCUCAGAAUGUCUCCUUUUUUGGGAUAAGAGAGGACCUGAUAGCAAAUAAUGUCAUCUCAGAAAGCCAGUUCUUUGUACCUUUAAUGUGCUCUUGGCUCGCUAUGAUGCCUACACUCUUACGUACUUUCCUUUUAUCUGUGAAACAAAUUAUCUUUUGAGGUCCUCUUAAGACAUGGAGUGCUGUUUCCUCUAAUGCAGACCUCAGAAUGUCUCCUUUUUUGGAAGAAGAGAGGACCUGAUAGCAAAUAAUGUCAUCUCAGAAAGCCAGUGCUUUGUACCUUUAAUGUGCUCUUGGCUCGCUAUGAUGCCUACACUCUUCCAUACUUUCCUUUUAUCUAUGAAACAAAUUAUCUUUUGAGGUCCUCUCAAGACAUGGGGUGCUGUUUCCUAUAAUGCUGUCCUCAGAUUGUCUCAUUUUUUGGCUAAGAGAGGACCUGAUAACAAAUAAUGGCAUCUCAGAAAGCCAGGGUUUGUACCUUCAAUGUGCUUUUGGCUCGCUAUGAUGUCUACAUUCUUCCGUAGUUUCCUUUUAUCUAUGUAGCAAAUUCUCCUUUGUAUAUCAAAACCAUGUGAUAGGUUG